Regulatory RNA element from Drosophila willistoni, 45 nucleotides. It matches the Rfam family "Histone 3' UTR stem-loop". Rfam says of the family: The mRNAs of metazoan histone genes lack a poly-A tail. 3' end processing occurs at a site between a highly conserved stem-loop (modelled by this family) and a purine rich region around 20 nts downstream (the histone downstream element, or HDE). The record is from Rfam. Lineage: Eukaryota; Metazoa; Arthropoda; Insecta; Diptera; Drosophilidae.
AAAAAGGCCCUUUUCAGGGCCACAAUUUUAUAUUAAAAAAGAAUU